GUGUCGGCCGCCGCGGUAAUACGGAGGGUGCAAGCGUUAAUCGGAAUUACUGGGCGUAAAGCGCGCGUAGGUGGCUUGAUAAGCCGGUUGUGAAAGCCCCGGGCUCAACCUGGGAACGGCAUCCGGAACUGUCAGGCUAGAGUGCAGGAGAGGAAGGUAGAAUUCCCGGUGUAGCGGUGAAAUGCGUAGAGAUCGGGAGGAAUACCAGUGGCGAAGGCGGCCUUCUGGACUGACACUGACACUGAGGUGCGAAAGCGUGGGUAGCAAACAGGAUUAGAUACCCUGGUAGUCCACGCCGUAAACGAUGUCGACCAGCCGUUGGGUGCCUAGAGCACUUUGUGGCGAAGUUAACGCGAUAAGUCGACCGCCUGGGGAGUACGGCCGCAAGGUUAAAACUCAAAUGAAUUGACGGGGGCCCGCACAAGCGGUGGAGCAUGUGGUUUAAUUCGAUGCAACGCGAAGAACCUUACCUACCCUUGACAUCUACAGAAGCCGGAAGAGAUUCUGGUGUGCCUUCGGGAACUGUAAGACAGGUGCUGCAUGGCUGUCGUCAGCUCGUGUUGUGAAAUGUUGGGUUAAGUCCCGUAACGAGCGCAACCCUUGUCCUUAUUUGCCAGCGAGUAAUGUCGGGAACUCUAAGGAGACUGCCGGUGACAAACCGGAGGAAGGUGGGGACGACGUCAAGUCAUCAUGGCCCUUACGGGUAGGGCUACACACGUGCUACAAUGGCCGGUACAAAGGGCUGCGAGCUCGCGAGAGUCAGCGAAUCCCUUAAAGCCGGUCUCAGUCCGGAUCGGAGUCUGCAACUCGACUCCGUGAAGUCGGAAUCGCUAGUAAUCGUGAAUCAGAAUGUCACGGUGAAUACGUUCCCGGGCCUUGUACACACCGCCCGUC
This 894-nucleotide ribosomal RNA is filed under the name uncultured bacterium. RNAcentral describes it as "bacterial SSU rRNA". It matches the Rfam family "Bacterial small subunit ribosomal RNA", at positions 505 to 1398 of the family's 1533-position model. The record is from RNAcentral.